Molecule: ribosomal RNA, 497 nt
Filed under: uncultured bacterium
Lineage: Bacteria
Description: partial 16S ribosomal RNA
Rfam family: Bacterial small subunit ribosomal RNA
Source: RNAcentral
GAUGAACGCUGGCGGCGUGCCUAAUACAUGCAAGUCGAGCGAACAGACGAGGAGCUUGCUCCUCUGACGUUAGCGGCGGACGGGUGAGUAACACGUGGAUAACCUACCUAUAAGACUGGGAUAACUUCGGGAAACCGGAGCUAAUACCGGAUAAUAUAUUGAACCGCAUGGUUCAAUAGUGAAAGACGGUUUUGCUGUCACUUAUAGAUGGAUCCGCGCCGCAUUAGCUAGUUGGUAAGGUAACGGCUUACCAAGGCAACGAUGCGUAGCCGACCUGAGAGGGUGAUCGGCCACACUGGAACUGAGACACGGUCCAGACUCCUACGGGAGGCAGCAGUAGGGAAUCUUCCGCAAUGGGCGAAAGCUUGACGGAGCAACGCCCCGUGAGUGAUGAAGGUCUUCGGAUCGUAAAACUCUGUUAUUAGGGAAGAACAAAUGUGUAAGUAACUAUGCACGUCUUGACGGUACCUAAUCAGAAAGCCACGGCUAACUACGUG